This 122-nucleotide small nucleolar RNA is filed under the name Fulmarus glacialis (Northern fulmar). Its description in RNAcentral is "Small nucleolar RNA SNORA69". It matches the Rfam family "Small nucleolar RNA SNORA69". From Rfam's summary of the family: U69 is a member of the H/ACA class of small nucleolar RNAs (snoRNAs) which act as guides in the the modification of uridines to pseudouridines. Lineage: Eukaryota; Metazoa; Chordata; Aves; Procellariiformes; Procellariidae. The record is from Rfam by way of RNAcentral.
AAAGCAGGCUGCAAUUACAGUGCUUCAUUCUGUGGGAGUUCCUGCUGAGAGUAACUCUGUUAACGCUGUCUUCGGUUUCACCUAUACGGUGGUGAAACCGUUUGUUCUUAACAUGUACAAGU